UUGAAUCCUCAGGAUGUUGCUGGCUCUUCGGAGCAUGUGCACUCCGCCUUUUCAAUCCACCUGUGAACUUAUUGUAGGCUGGAUGUAACAGUCCAUGCCUAUGUCUUCAUAAACCCUUUAUAAAAGUCUAUGGAAUGUCUUGUUGUAGGCCUUAUGGUCAAAAAAUUAAUA
RNAcentral lists this unclassified non-coding RNA (171 nucleotides) under uncultured Agaricales. RNAcentral describes it as "sequence contains ITS1". Lineage: Eukaryota; Fungi; Basidiomycota; Agaricomycetes; Agaricales. The record is from RNAcentral.